GACGAACGCUGGCGGCGUGCUUAACACAUGCAAGUCGAACGGGCCCGCUCUCUUUUUUGGGGGUGGGUUGAGUGGCGAACGGGUGAGUAUCACGUGAGUAACCUGCCCCCUGCUCCUGGAUAACUGCUUGAAAGGGCGGCUAAUACGGGGUGUGCCGGCUGGUCCGCAUGGGCCUGGUCGGGAUAGUUUCAUCUUCGGGUGUUUCGGUGGGGGAUGGGCUCGCGGCCUAUCAGCUUGUUGGGGGGGUGAUGGCCCACCAAGGCGGUGACGGGUAGCCGGCCGGGGAGGGUGGGCGGCCAGACUGGGAGUGAGACACGGCCCAGACUGCGGCGGGAGGCAGCAGGGGGGGGGAUUGCACAGUGGGCGGAAGCCUGAAGCAGCGACGUCGCGUGAGGGAUGGAGGCCUUCGGGUUGUGAACCUCUUUCGCCGGGGGUGAAGGCCCUGUCCGUUGCGGCGGGGUUGACGGUAGCCGGGUAUGAAGCGCCGGCUAACUACGUG
RNAcentral lists this ribosomal RNA (499 nucleotides) under uncultured bacterium. RNAcentral describes it as "partial 16S ribosomal RNA". It matches the Rfam family "Bacterial small subunit ribosomal RNA", at positions 28 to 507 of the family's 1533-position model. The record is from RNAcentral.